Molecule: ribosomal RNA, 397 nt
Filed under: uncultured bacterium
Lineage: Bacteria
Description: partial 16S ribosomal RNA
Rfam family: Bacterial small subunit ribosomal RNA
Source: RNAcentral
AUACGGAGGAUGCAAGCGUUAUCCGGAUUUAUUGGGUUUAAAGGGUGCGUAGGCGGUUUGCUAAGCGGGAGGUGAAAUGCCGGCGCUCAACGUCGGAAGUGCCUCCCGAACUGGUGGACUUGAAUGACUCUGCCGUGGGAGGAAUGUGUAGUGUAGCGGUGAAAUGCUUAGAGAUUACACAGAACACCGAUUGCGAAGGCAUCUAACGAAGGGUUGAUUGACGCUGAGGCACGAAAGCGUGGGGAUCAAACAGGAUUAGAUGCCCUGGUAGUCCACGCCGUAAACGAUGAAUACUAGGUGUAGGGGGUAUCGACUCCCUCUGUGCCGCAGUUAACACAAUAAGUAUUCCGCCUGGGGAGUACGGCCGCAAGGUUGAAACUCAAAUGAAUUGACGGGG